RNAcentral lists this ribosomal RNA (298 nucleotides) under uncultured bacterium. RNAcentral describes it as "partial 16S ribosomal RNA". It matches the Rfam family "Bacterial small subunit ribosomal RNA", at positions 32 to 323 of the family's 1533-position model. The record is from RNAcentral.
AAUCAACGCUGGCGGCGUGCCUCAGACAUGCAAGUCGAACGAUUAAACUUUCCUUCGGGAAAGAUAUAAAGUGGCGCACGGGUGAGUAACACGUAGGUAAUGUACCUUUGGGUGGGGAAUAACUUAGGGAAACUUAAGCUAAUACCGCAUAAUGCGAUAACUUCUUCGGAAGAUUUUUGUUAAAGAUUUAUCGCCUGAAGAGCAGCCUGCGGCAGAUUAGCUAGUUGGUAAGGUAACGGCUACCAAGGCUACGAUCUGUAUCCGACCUGAGAGGGUGGUCGGACACACUGACACUGAA